This 87-nucleotide ribosomal RNA is filed under the name Viscum liquidambaricola. RNAcentral describes it as "partial 5.8S ribosomal RNA". It matches the Rfam family "5.8S ribosomal RNA", at positions 73 to 154 of the family's 154-position model. Rfam says of the family: 5.8S ribosomal RNA (5.8S rRNA) is a component of the large subunit of the eukaryotic ribosome. The record is from RNAcentral. Lineage: Eukaryota; Viridiplantae; Streptophyta; Magnoliopsida; Santalales; Viscaceae.
UGCAGAAUCCCGUGAAUCAUCGAGUCUUUGAACGCAAGUUGCGCCCGAGGCCUUCUGGCCGAGGGCACGCCUGCCUGGGCGUCACGC